This 381-nucleotide long non-coding RNA is filed under the name Mytilus galloprovincialis (Mediterranean mussel). Lineage: Eukaryota; Metazoa; Mollusca; Bivalvia; Mytilida; Mytilidae. The record is from RNAcentral.
AUUUUGUACAAAAUUUAAAAAAAAACGAUUUCUUACUAAAUUUGACAAAUAUGUUAUAGUUAUUACUAUGUCAUUUAUUAAGAGCUAUAAUAAAUGCAACUGUAAGUUUAUUUUCCUCCGAUGACAAGAAAAAAAAUCGUUUAUGUCCCGAUUUAAGCACCAGUUAUCAAUCCGGAUUUUCCGAUUUUACCGACACCGUGACCGACUUUUAGAAUGAUAGGAGAAGAAUGUGGUCUCUUUUGCGCUUGAUUACACCUAGUAAACGAGUGCUUGAAUAAAAGCGCCGAUAGACAUCGACAAAAUCUUCGAUCUUUUAUCAAAGUUUUUUCUCGUGAUUUAAUAAAAAUAAAAAGCAGAUAUGGGAAAAUUGAAGAGGACCGG